GCCUUUUUAACAAAAACAUCGCCUUUUGGGGGGAAUAAAAGGUCUGGCCUGCCCACUGUAAAUAAAGGGCCGCAGUAUUUUGACUGUGCAAAGGUAGCAUAAUCAUUAGUCUUUUAAUUGAAGGCUGGUAUGAAUGGUUGGAUGAGGUAAUGGCUGUCUCUUACAGAUUAAAUAGAAUUUAGCCUCUUAGUCAAAAGGCUAAGAUAGGAUUAGAGGACGAGAAGACCCUAUAGAUCUUCAUGGAACUAUAUGAUACUUUUAGAUGAGUCAGGGUUUUAUAAAAUUUCUAUUUGGUUGGGGUGACAAGGAAAUACAAUAACUUUCUUUAAAUUAACACAUUGAUUAGUGAAUAGGAGAUCCAUAAUUUAUGAUUAAAAGAGUAAGUUACCUUAGGGAUAACAGCAUAAUCUUCUUAGAGAGUUCUAAUCGGUAAGGAGGGUUGUGACCUCGAUGUUGGACUAAGAUUUAGCCUAGGUGUAGCAGUUUAGGAUAAUGGUCUGUUCGACCAGUAGUAUUUUACAUGAUCUGAGUUCAAACCGGAGCUCC
This 546-nucleotide ribosomal RNA is filed under the name Nonnullidens sp. 39 CSC-2019. Its description in RNAcentral is "partial large subunit ribosomal RNA". It matches the Rfam family "Bacterial large subunit ribosomal RNA", at positions 1798 to 2627 of the family's 2925-position model. Lineage: Eukaryota; Metazoa; Arthropoda; Insecta; Ephemeroptera; Leptophlebiidae. The record is from RNAcentral.